GAUUCUGGCUCAGGAUGAACGCUAGCGACAGGCUUAACACAUGCAAGUCGAGGGGCAGCAUAAAAGUAGCAAUACUUGGUGGCGACCGGCGCACGGGUGAGUAACGCGUAUGCAACCUACCUAUCAGAGGGGAAUAACCCGGCGAAAGUCGGACUAAUACCGCAUAAAACAGGGGCACCGCAUGGUGAUAUUUGUUAAAGAAAUUCGCUGAUAGAUGGGCAUGCGUUCCAUUAGGUAGUUGGUGAGGUAACGGCUCACCAAGCCGACGAUGGAUAGGGGAACUGAGAGGUUGGUCCCCCACACUGGUACUGAGACACGGACCAGACUCCUACGGGAGGCAGCAGUGAGGAAUAUUGGUCAAUGGGCGGGAGCCUGAACCAGCCAAGUCGCGUGAAAGGAAGAAGGAUCUAUGGUUCGUAAACUUCUUUUGCAGGGGAAUAAAGUGCAGGACGUGUCCUGUUUUGUAUGUACCCUGAGAAUAAGGAUCGGCUAACUCCGUGCCAGCAGCGGC
RNAcentral lists this ribosomal RNA (511 nucleotides) under uncultured bacterium. Its description in RNAcentral is "bacterial SSU rRNA". It matches the Rfam family "Bacterial small subunit ribosomal RNA", at positions 15 to 518 of the family's 1533-position model. The record is from RNAcentral.